This 279-nucleotide ribosomal RNA is filed under the name uncultured Staphylococcus sp. Its description in RNAcentral is "partial 16S ribosomal RNA". It matches the Rfam family "Bacterial small subunit ribosomal RNA", at positions 83 to 354 of the family's 1533-position model. The record is from RNAcentral. Lineage: Bacteria; Bacillati; Bacillota; Bacilli; Caryophanales; Staphylococcaceae.
CCUUUGACGUUAGCGGCGGACGGGUGAGUAACACGUGGGUAACCUACCUAUAAGACUGGGAUAACUUCGGGAAACCGGAGCUAAUACCGGAUAAUAUUUCGAACCGCAUGGUUCGAUAGUGAAAGGUGGUUUUGCUAUCACUUAUAGAUGGACCCGCGCCGUAUUAGCUAGUUGGUAAGGUAACGGCUUACCAAGGCGACGAUACGUAGCCGACCUGAGAGGGUGAUCGGCCACACUGGAACUGAGACGCGGUCCAGACUCCUACGGGAGGCAGCAGGG